GAUGAACGCUGGCGGCGUGCCUAAUACAUGCAAGUCGAGCGAACGGACGAGAAGCUUGCUUCUCUGAUGUUAGCGGCGGACGGGUGAGUAACACGUGGAUAACCUACCUAUAAGACUGGGAUAACUUCGGGAAACCGGAGCUAAUACCGGAUAAUAUUUUGAACCGCAUGGUUCAAAAGUGAAAGACGGUCUUGCUGUCACUUAUAGAUGGAUCCGCGCUGCAUUAGCUAGUUGGUAAGGUAACGGCUUACCAAGGCAACGAUGCAUAGCCGACCUGAGCGGGUGAUCGGCCACACUGGAACUGAGACACGGUCCAGACUCCUACGGGAGGCAGCAGUAGGGAAUCUUCCGCAAAGGGCGAAAGCCUGACGGAGCAACGCCGCGUGAGUGAUGAAGGUCUUCGGAUCGUAAAACUCUGUUAUUAGGGAAGAACAUAUGUGUAAGUAACUGUGCACAUCUUGACGGUACCUAAUCAGAAAGCCACGGCUAACUACGUG
RNAcentral lists this ribosomal RNA (497 nucleotides) under uncultured bacterium. RNAcentral describes it as "partial 16S ribosomal RNA". It matches the Rfam family "Bacterial small subunit ribosomal RNA", at positions 28 to 507 of the family's 1533-position model. The record is from RNAcentral.